GGGAGGGGGCUACGUACCGGGAAUCAAAAGUACAUCCGGCUUAAAAACUUGUCCAAGUAUCUUUCUUAUUUAAAUGUAUGACACUAACAGAAUAGGGAGGCACGCUAGCCUGCACAUUCCCGAAGAUGAGAAGAGAAUGGGUUUGUGGCAGUUUAUAUAUUGUUCAGAUAAUAUCAAAGCGGUAAAAGCAGAAUUUGUCACAUCAAG
This 207-nucleotide long non-coding RNA is filed under the name Nicotiana benthamiana. Its description in RNAcentral is "long non-coding RNA (NBEN_LNC026665)". Lineage: Eukaryota; Viridiplantae; Streptophyta; Magnoliopsida; Solanales; Solanaceae. The record is from RNAcentral.